AUUGAACGCUGGCGGCAGGCCUAACACAUGCAAGUCGAACGGUAACAGGAAGAAGCUUGCUUCUUUGCUGACGAGUGGCGGACGGGUGAGUAAUGUCUGGGAAACUGCCUGAUGGAGGGGGAUAACUACUGGAAACGGUAGCUAAUACCGCAUAACGUCGCAAGACCAAAGAGGGGGACCUUCGGGCCUCUUGCCAUCGGAUGUGCCCAGAUGGGAUUAGCUAGUAGGUGGGGUAACGGCUCACCUAGGCGACGAUCCCUAGCUGGUCUGAGAGGAUGACCAGCCACACUGGAACUGAGACACGGUCCAGACUCCUACGGGAGGCAGCAGUGGGGAAUAUUGCACAAUGGGCGCAAGCCUGAUGCAGCCAUGCCGCGUGUAUGAAGAGGGCCUUCGGGUUGUAAAGUACUUUCAGCGGGGAGGAAGGGAGUAAAGUUAAGACCUUUGCUCAUUGACGUGACCCGCAGAAGAAGCACCGGCUAACUCCGU
Molecule: ribosomal RNA, 489 nt
Filed under: uncultured bacterium
Lineage: Bacteria
Description: partial 16S ribosomal RNA
Rfam family: Bacterial small subunit ribosomal RNA
Source: RNAcentral